AAGGAAGAUGGCAGAUAGAAGGCAGGACUAACUUGCAGCUCCAGCUUUGACAAAUAGAGCAGCAUGUGGAGACUCACAUCAUUAACUUUUGCUCCAGAACUACUGCAGGAAUAUACCAGGAAUGCUGAGCGAAUCCAUAGACGCUCUGAAGGAAGUGGAUUGCUCCUGCAGGACCUGGGAGACAGCCCAAAUACUGCACAGUUAAAGAAAUGUGUUACUGACAAGCCUGCAGGCCACAUGGCGAGAUGGAAAGCAAGCAGGUUCGUGAACCAGGAAGUUGGGACUGCAUCACUGGGCCGGUCACUCCACUUCGUGGUACUUCUGCUUCCUCCUCCAAGGUCAACCAAGGUCCUUUUGUGGCUUCUGUGACUAUCUAGAGGGUU
Molecule: long non-coding RNA, 383 nt
Organism: Pan troglodytes (chimpanzee)
Lineage: Eukaryota; Metazoa; Chordata; Mammalia; Primates; Hominidae
Exons: 2
Source: RefSeq, a predicted model, not a curated record